AUACGUAGGUGGCAAGCGUUGUCCGGAUUUACUGGGUGUAAAGGGCGCGUAGGCGGGAUGCAAGUCAGAUGUGAAAUCUCCGGGCUCAACCCGGAAACUGCAUUUGAAACUGUCGUUCUUGAGUAUCGGAGAGGCAAGCGGAAUUCCUAGUGUAGCGGUGAAAUGCGUAGAUAUUAGGAGGAACACCAGUGGCGAAGGCGGCUUGCUGGACGACAACUGACGCUGAGGCGCGAAAGCGUGGGGAGCAAACAGGAUUAGAUACCCGGGUAGUCCACGCCGUAAACGAUGAAUACUAGGUGUGGGGGGACUGACCCCCUCCGUGCCGCAGUUAACACAAUAAGUAUUCCACCUGGGGAGUACGGCCGCAAGGUUGAAACUUAAAGGAAUUGACGGGG
RNAcentral lists this ribosomal RNA (395 nucleotides) under uncultured bacterium. RNAcentral describes it as "partial 16S ribosomal RNA". It matches the Rfam family "Bacterial small subunit ribosomal RNA", at positions 523 to 918 of the family's 1533-position model. The record is from RNAcentral.